UAUAGCUCAGCGGUGCAGCGCCUGCCUGGCAAGUGCGAGGCCCUGGGUUCGAUUCCCGGUA
This 61-nucleotide transfer RNA is filed under the name Heterocephalus glaber (naked mole-rat). It matches the Rfam family "tRNA", at positions 6 to 65 of the family's 71-position model. From Rfam's summary of the family: Transfer RNA (tRNA) molecules are approximately 80 nucleotides in length. Their secondary structure includes four short double-helical elements and three loops (D, anti-codon, and T loops). Lineage: Eukaryota; Metazoa; Chordata; Mammalia; Rodentia; Bathyergidae. The record is from Rfam by way of RNAcentral.